This 22-nucleotide non-coding RNA is filed under the name Arabidopsis thaliana (thale cress). Lineage: Eukaryota; Viridiplantae; Streptophyta; Magnoliopsida; Brassicales; Brassicaceae. The record is from RNAcentral.
UUGGACCGCAACAAUAUUCUUA